CCCUUAGAUGUCCGGGGCCGCACGCGUGCUACACUGAGUAAAUCAAUGGGUAAGGGAACACGAAAGUGCAACCUAAUCUUCAAAUUUGCUCGUGAUGGGGAUCGACGGUUGCAAUUUUCCGUCGUGAACGAGGAAUACCUUGUAGGCGCGUGUCAUCAUCACGCGCCGAAUACGUCCCUGCCCUUUGUACACACCGCCCGUCGCUCCUACCGAUUGAGUGAUCCGGUGAGGCUCUGGGACCUGGACGGAAAGAGCGUUUCGCUUGUUCUGUUUGGGAAACUUGGUCGAACCUUAUCAUUUAGAGGAAGGAGAAGUCGUAACA
This 322-nucleotide ribosomal RNA is filed under the name uncultured eukaryote. RNAcentral describes it as "partial 18S ribosomal RNA". It matches the Rfam family "Eukaryotic small subunit ribosomal RNA", at positions 1470 to 1796 of the family's 1831-position model. The record is from RNAcentral.